GAUGAACGCUAGCGGCAGGCUUAACACAUGCAAGUCGAGGGGUAGAAGUCUUCGGACUUUGAGACCGGCGCACGGGUGCGUAACGCGUAUGCAAUCUGCCUCGUACAAAGGGAUAGCCCAGCGAAAUCUGGAUUAAUACCUUAUAGUAUAUAGAUGUGGCAUCACAAUUAUAUUAAAGAUUUAUCGGUACAAGAUGAGCAUGCGUCCCAUUAGCGAGUUGGUAUGGUAACGGCAUACCAAGGCAAUGAUGGGUAGGGGUCCUGAGAGGGAGAGCCCCCACACUGGUACUGGGACACGAACCAGAAUCCAACGAGAGGCAGCAUGAAGGAAUAUUGGUAAAGGGGAGCAAGCCUGAACGCGCCAUGCCGCGUGCAUGAUAAAGCAUCUAUGGUGUGUAAACUGCUUUUGUACGGGAAGAAACACCUCUUCGUGAAGAGGCUUGACGUUACCGUAAGAAUAAGGAUCGGCUAACUCCGUGCCAGCAGCCGCCGUAA
Molecule: ribosomal RNA, 494 nt
Filed under: uncultured bacterium
Lineage: Bacteria
Description: partial 16S ribosomal RNA
Rfam family: Bacterial small subunit ribosomal RNA
Source: RNAcentral